This 469-nucleotide ribosomal RNA is filed under the name uncultured bacterium. RNAcentral describes it as "bacterial SSU rRNA". It matches the Rfam family "Bacterial small subunit ribosomal RNA", at positions 335 to 802 of the family's 1533-position model. The record is from RNAcentral.
ACUCCUACGGGAGGCAGCAGUGGGGAAUAUUGCACAAUGGGCGCAAGCCUGAUGCAGCCAUGCCGCGUGUGUGAAGAAGGCCUUCGGGUUGUAAAGCACUUUCAGUCGUGAGGAAGGUAGUGUAGUUAAUAGCUGCAGUAUUUGACGUUAGCGACAGAAGAAGCACCGGCUAACUCCGUGCCAGCAGCCGCGGUAAUACGGAGGGUGCGAGCGUUAAUCGGAAUUACUGGGCGUAAAGCGCAUGCAGGUGGUUUGUUAAGUUCAGAUGUGAAAGCCCGGGGCUCAACCUCGGAAUAGCAUUUGAAACUGGCAGACUAGAGUACUGUAGAGGGGGUAGAAUUUCAGGUGUAGCGUGAAAUGCGUAGAGAUCUGAAGGAUACCGGUGGCGAAGCGGCCCCUGGACAGAUACUGACACUCAGAUGCGAAAGCGUGGGAGCAAACAGGAUUAGAUACCCCUGGUAGACUGUCA